RNAcentral lists this ribosomal RNA (468 nucleotides) under uncultured bacterium. RNAcentral describes it as "partial 16S ribosomal RNA". It matches the Rfam family "Bacterial small subunit ribosomal RNA", at positions 28 to 507 of the family's 1533-position model. The record is from RNAcentral.
GACGAACGCUGGCGGCGUGCUUAACACAUGCAAGUCGAACGGAAAGGCCCUGCUUUUGUGGGGUGCUCGAGUGGCGAACGGGUGAGUAACACGUGAGUAACCUGCCCUUGACUUUGGGAUAACUUCAGGAAACUGGGGCUAAUACCGGAUAGGAGCUCCUGCUGCAUGGUGGGGGUUGGAAAGUUUCGUCGGUUGGGGAUGGACUCGCGGCUUAUCAGCUUGUUGGUGGGGUCGUGGCUUACCAAGGCUUUGACGGGUAGCCGGCCGGAGAGGGUGACCGGCCACAUUGGGACUGAGAUACGGCCCAGACUCCUACGGGAGGCAGCAGUGGGGAAUAUUGCACAAUGGGCGGAAGCCUGAUGCAGCAACGCCGCGUGCGGGAUGACGGCCUUCGGGUUGUAAACCGCUUUCGCCUGUGACGAAGCGUGAGUGACGGUAAUGGGUAAAGAAGCACCGGCUAACUACGUG